This 253-nucleotide ribosomal RNA is filed under the name uncultured bacterium. RNAcentral describes it as "partial 16S ribosomal RNA". It matches the Rfam family "Bacterial small subunit ribosomal RNA", at positions 524 to 776 of the family's 1533-position model. The record is from RNAcentral.
UACGAAGGGGGCUAGCGUUGCUCGGAAUCACUGGGCGUAAAGCGCACGUAGGCGGGUUCUUAAGUCAGGGGGGAAAUCCUGGAGCUCAACUCCAGAACUGCCUUUGAUACUGGGAAUCUCGAGUCCGGGAGAGGUGAGUGGAACUGCGAGUGUAGAGGUGAAAUUCGUAGAUAUUCGCAAGAACACCAGUGGCGAAGGCGGCUCACUGGCCCGGUACUGACGCUGAGGUGCGAAAGCGUGGGGAGCAAACAGG